RNAcentral lists this long non-coding RNA (235 nucleotides) under Elaeis guineensis (African oil palm). RNAcentral's name for it is "long non-coding RNA (EGUI_LNC009224)". Lineage: Eukaryota; Viridiplantae; Streptophyta; Magnoliopsida; Arecales; Arecaceae. The record is from RNAcentral.
UUCGAUCUCGAAUGACUUAUCUUAAAUCAUCCUCAGCCGACCUAUUUCAGAUUAUUUGAAGAUUAACGUGCACACUACGGUCUCCAUGAUCUCGAUUUUGAACGAUCUGCUUUAGUUCGUACUUAGCCGACCAAUCUCAACCAGUGUGAAGACAAGCACCUGCUCCCUGAACCUCAAUACCUCGGCCAUGGACGAUUUAUCGGAGCUCGUCCAUAGCCAAGCUAAUCUCCGCAUC